GAGAGUUUGGAUAAGUAGCUAAUAAUAGGGAAGGGUAGUCAACAUGGGUGUUGCUAGCUUAACCCCUUAAGGACCAAACUUCUGGAAUAAAAGGGAAUCAUGACAUGUCACACAUGUCAUGUGUCCUUAAGGGGUUUUAAACACCUGUGGUUUGAUCCCUAACAAAAACGUUAUGACCCCCUACUCUAACAGCAAGGUUAUGUCCCCUUCUGUCUACACAUGAAUAAGGGGCUAGUAAUGCUUUCUGGGAUAUCAAAGCAAACAUAGCUGGAUACAACAUGCUCAGCAGCUCUGUACAAUAGGUAAAACCAGACAAGUAAUUCAUUCUAGCAAACCAUGUUUGACAUAUGGGAACAGUAGGUGAUGAGGGCCCAACCAAAACAGACUUGCAAUCUAAAAGGAAUAAAGG
Pelobates cultripes (western spadefoot toad) is the source of this 409-nucleotide non-coding RNA. The record is from the annotation of a GenBank genome assembly. Lineage: Eukaryota; Metazoa; Chordata; Amphibia; Anura; Pelobatidae.